AACGAACGCUGGCGGCAGGCCUAACACAUGCAAGUCGAACGCUCUAGCAAUAGAGAGUGGCGCACGGGUGCGUAACGCGUGGGAAUAUGCCCUUGACUACGGAACAACGUCGGGAAACUGACGCUAAUACCGUAUAGUGUCUUCGGACCAAAGAUUUAUCGGUCAAGGAUUAGCCCGCGUCUGAUUAGCUAGUUGGUGAGGUAACGGCUCACCAAGGCGACGAUCAGUAGCUGGUCUGAGAGGAUGAUCAGCCACACUGGGACUGAGACACGGCCCAGACUCCUACGGGAGGCAGCAGUGAGGAAUAUUGGACAAUGGAGGCAACUCUGAUCCAGCCAUGCCGCGUGAGUGACGAAGGCCUUCGGGUUGUAAAGCUCUUUCAGAUGCGAAGAUAAUGACGGUAACAUCAGAAGAAGCCCCGGCUAAAUUCGUGCCAGCCGCCGCCGUAA
RNAcentral lists this ribosomal RNA (449 nucleotides) under uncultured bacterium. Its description in RNAcentral is "partial 16S ribosomal RNA". It matches the Rfam family "Bacterial small subunit ribosomal RNA", at positions 29 to 523 of the family's 1533-position model. The record is from RNAcentral.